UCGUCCUUCCCCUGGAUGGGCAGUAUGGAGAUGCACUGUGCAUGACGAUCCCGGCAGUCCUGUGGGGCUAAGUCAUCCGUGUGGUGGCCAGCUUGAUAAUUCAUCUCUGUGUCGGCUGACUCUCCCUUCUGGCUCUGCUUUCUUCUUGCCCCUCACUCCUGCUCCUUGGAUCUCACUCCCCCGAAAGGACAUGUCCUUGAGAGGUAGAAGGCUUGUGCUUGGAUGAUAAGACGACAGUGGAAGCUGACUGCUUCACCUGCGUCUUCUUGGCUCGUCAUAACAGCAUGGUCCCAGCCCUGCAUCAUCCUCAUCUCACCCCGUCUCCGUGCCAGUGAGAUCCUGGAGCCUGUUGGGAAAUUGUGGAGGUUUUUGCCAAUGUCAUUGGCCAUAUUUUGGCCAAGGAGACCAGGGGCUUCGGUCUGCCAUGUGUUUUCAGCGUGCUGGCUGCCUGCGAACACAUCUGUCAACCUUAACAUCAGAGAACAAAAGCUUGGAUUUGACAUGAAAAGGACAGCACAAGAGCAGCCCUGACCGGACCGCCAUGUGGCAUUCCUAAGCGUGCAGAGAUUCAGCCUGGAAGAUAUGCACAGUACUUGAAAGAAGUCUUUUAUCCAGGCAAGAGGGGAUAAACACAUCUGUAUGGCAUUGAUUUUCCCCCCUUUCUUUCUGGGAUUUGGAGCUGGGCUGGGGGAAGGAACAAUGAAAACAUUUGAAACAUCUGACACUGAGUUGGGGCUGUGGGUAGACAGCAUUUGGGGGGAAAUGAAAGGUGAAAUGCCAAAUUUAGUUUGGCUCUUCUUUCUUUCUGGCGCCAUUUUUCUCUCUUAUAUUCGACCCAUAUUUUCCUUUUAGCACCAAUGGGGGGUGGGGUGGAUCAUGUAACAUUCCUACUUAGCACAUACAUAGCUAGCCUUGUCUUGAAAGGGAACCAUACACUGACAACGGAAACCUCGCAACCUCCCUAGUGGGAGACAACAUGGGGCUUCUGGCUUCCAGGAUAUUUAUUUUGGUUACUGUUUAGUG
Non-coding RNA from Equus caballus (horse), 1023 nucleotides. Lineage: Eukaryota; Metazoa; Chordata; Mammalia; Perissodactyla; Equidae. The record is from RefSeq and is a predicted model, not a curated record.